This 76-nucleotide transfer RNA is filed under the name Caudoviricetes sp. Its description in RNAcentral is "tRNA-Thr". It matches the Rfam family "tRNA". Rfam says of the family: Transfer RNA (tRNA) molecules are approximately 80 nucleotides in length. Their secondary structure includes four short double-helical elements and three loops (D, anti-codon, and T loops). Lineage: Duplodnaviria; Heunggongvirae; Uroviricota; Caudoviricetes. The record is from RNAcentral.
GCUGGCGUAACUCAGUUGGUAGAGUAGCUGACUUGUAAUCAGCCUGUCGCACGUUCAAAUCGUGUCGCCAGCUCCA